UACUUCUUCGGACAAUAUACAAGGUGCUGCAUGGUUGUCGUCAGCUCGUGCCGUGAGAUGUUGGGUUAAGUCCCGUAACGAGCGCAACCCUUGUCCUAGUUACCAGCACGUUAUGGUGGGCACUCUAAGGAGACUGCCGGUGACAAACCGGAGGAAGGUGGGGAUGACGUCAAGUCAUCAUGGCCCUUACGGCCUGGGCUACACACGUGCUACAAUGGUCGGUACAAAGGGUUGCCAAGCCGCGAGGUGGAGCUAAUCCCAUAAAACCGAUCGUAGUCCGGAUCGCAGUCUGCAACUCGACUGCGUGAAGUCGGAAUCGCUAGUAAUCGCGAAUCAGAAUGUCGCGGUGAAUGCGUUCCCGGGUCUU
RNAcentral lists this ribosomal RNA (367 nucleotides) under uncultured Pseudomonas sp. Its description in RNAcentral is "bacterial SSU rRNA". It matches the Rfam family "Bacterial small subunit ribosomal RNA", at positions 1014 to 1382 of the family's 1533-position model. The record is from RNAcentral. Lineage: Bacteria; Pseudomonadati; Pseudomonadota; Gammaproteobacteria; Pseudomonadales; Pseudomonadaceae.